ACAUAUCAACCCCAUAAGGAUUUUGGUCUCUAUGGUGGCUUGGAUUUGGGGGCUUGCUGGUCAUUAAUUUGGUCGGCUCUCCUUAAAUGCAUUAGCUUUGGACUUGUUCUGUAGGCUGCUUGGCGUGAUAAUUAUCUACGCUUUGCAAUCGUCUGUGGAAUAUUAUGAGUCUAGCUUCUAAUCGUCCUCUGGACAAUCUAAAUUCG
RNAcentral lists this unclassified non-coding RNA (206 nucleotides) under uncultured Peniophorella. RNAcentral describes it as "sequence contains ITS2". Lineage: Eukaryota; Fungi; Basidiomycota; Agaricomycetes; Corticiales; Corticiaceae. The record is from RNAcentral.